This 325-nucleotide ribosomal RNA is filed under the name uncultured soil bacterium. Its description in RNAcentral is "bacterial SSU rRNA". It matches the Rfam family "Bacterial small subunit ribosomal RNA", at positions 26 to 348 of the family's 1533-position model. The record is from RNAcentral.
AGAUUGAACGCUGGCGGCAUGCUUUACACAUGCAAGUCGAACGGUAACGCGGGGGCGAACCCUGGCGACGAGUGGCGAACGGGUGAGUAAUACAUCGGAACAUGUCCUGGAGUGGGGGAUAGCUCGGCGAAAGCCGGAUUAAUACCGCAUACGCUCUGAGGAGGAAAGCGGGGGACUCGUAAGGGCCUCGCGCUGCGGGAGUGGCCGAUGUCGGAUUAGCUAGUUGGUGAGGUAAAGGCUCACCAAGGCGACGAUCCGUAGCUGGUCUGAGAGGAUGAUCAGCCACACUGGACUGAGACACGGCCCACGACCUCCGUACGGGAGG